UAGAAGCAUGUAACUGGUGUUCACAGCAAUGUUCAACCUGUCAGAAAACGACUACUCCAUGUCAAAUAAGUCCUCCAACUUCCCCUUCCUGUCAAUGUACAAGUACAUCUCCAAUAAAUUUUACUGGUUCUACAUCUGAGACUAUUGCUACGCACAUAGAUUGUCCUCUUUGUCCAACCCCAACUGGAAGCACACUUUACAAUGGUUCAUCGGCAAAAGCUUCAACAACCG
Long non-coding RNA from Saccostrea cuccullata (small rock oyster), 231 nucleotides. RefSeq lists it as uncharacterized. The record is from RefSeq and is a predicted model, not a curated record. The transcript is spliced from 3 exons. Lineage: Eukaryota; Metazoa; Mollusca; Bivalvia; Ostreida; Ostreidae.